CCUACGGGUGGCAGCAGUGAGGAAUCUUGGUCAAUGGACGAGAGUCUGAACCAGCCAAGUAGCGUGAAGGAUGACUGCUCUAUGGGUUGUAAACUUCUUUUAUAUGGGAAUAAAAUGUUCAACGAGUGCCAUUUUGUAUGUACCAUAUGAAUAAGGAUCGGCUAACUCCGUGCAAGCAGCCGCGGUAAUACGGAGGAUCCGAGCGUUGUCCGGAUUUAUGGGGUUUAAGGGGAGCGUAGGUGGAUUGUUAAGUCAGUUGUGAAAGUUUGCGGCGCAACCGUAAAAUUGCAGUUGAAACUGGCAGUAUUGAGUACAGUAGAGGUGGGCGGAAUUCGUGGUGUAGCGGUGAAAUGCUUAGAUAUCACGAAGAACUCCGAUUGCGAAGGCAGCUCACUGGACUGCAACUGACACUGAGGCUCGAAAGUGUGGGUAUCAAACAGGAUUAGAUACCCUUGUAGUC
RNAcentral lists this ribosomal RNA (460 nucleotides) under uncultured bacterium. RNAcentral describes it as "partial 16S ribosomal RNA". It matches the Rfam family "Bacterial small subunit ribosomal RNA", at positions 338 to 795 of the family's 1533-position model. The record is from RNAcentral.